RNAcentral lists this ribosomal RNA (444 nucleotides) under Bacillus licheniformis. RNAcentral's name for it is "bacterial SSU rRNA". It matches the Rfam family "Bacterial small subunit ribosomal RNA", at positions 137 to 565 of the family's 1533-position model. The record is from RNAcentral. Lineage: Bacteria; Bacillati; Bacillota; Bacilli; Caryophanales; Bacillaceae.
ACUGGGAUAACUCCGGGAAACCGGGGCUAAUACCGGAUGCUUGAUUGAACCGCAUGGUUCAAUCAUAAAAGGUGGCUUUUAGCUACCACUUGCAGAUGGACCCGCGGCGCAUUAGCUAGUUGGUGAGGUAACGGCUCACCAAGGCGACGAUGCGUAGCCGACCUGAGAGGGUGAUCGGCCACACUGGGACUGAGACACGGCCCAGACUCCUACGGGAGGCAGCAGUAGGGAAUCUUCCGCAAUGGACGAAAGUCUGACGGAGCAACGCCGCGUGAGUGAUGAAGGUUUUCGGAUCGUAAAACUCUGUUGUUAGGGAAGAACAAGUACCGUUCGAAUAGGGCGGCACCUUGACGGUACCUAACCAGAAAGCCACGGCUAACUACGUGCCAGCAGCCGCGGUAAUACGUAGGUGGCAAGCGUUGUCCGGAAUUAUUGGGCGUAAAG